RNAcentral lists this ribosomal RNA (793 nucleotides) under uncultured bacterium. RNAcentral's name for it is "bacterial SSU rRNA". It matches the Rfam family "Bacterial small subunit ribosomal RNA", at positions 8 to 796 of the family's 1533-position model. The record is from RNAcentral.
AGAGUUUGAUCAUGGCUCAGGAUGAACGCUAGCGGCAGGCUUAAUACAUGCAAGUCGAGGGGCAGCAGGGGUAGCAAUACCCGCUGGCGACCGGCAAACGGGUGCGGAACACGUACACAACCUUCCUUUAAGUGGGGAAUAGCCCAGAGAAAUUUGGAUUAAUACCCCGUAAUAUUAUUGAAUGGCAUCAUUUAAUAAUUAAGGCUCCGGCGCUUGAAGAUGGGUGUGCGUCUGAUUAGGUAGUUGGUAGGGGUAACGGCCCACCAAGCCAACGAUCAGUAACUGGUGUGAGAGCACGACCAGUCACACGGGCACUGAGACACGGGCCCGACUCCUACGGGAGGCAGCAGUAAGGAAUAUUGGUCAAUGGACGCAAGUCUGAACCAGCCAUGCCGCGUGAAGGAUGAAGGUCCUCUGGAUUGUAAACUUCUUUUAUGUGGGAAGAAAUGUCCGGAUUAUUCUGGAUUUGACGGUACCAUAGGAAUAAGCACCGGCUAACUCCGUGCCAGCAGCCGCGGUAAUACGGAGGGUGCGAGCGUUAUCCGGAUUCACUGGGUUUAAAGGGUGCGUAGGUGGGAAUGUAAGUCAGUGGUGAAAUCUCCGUGCUUAACAUGGAAACUGCCAUUGAUACUAUGUUUCUUGAAUUUUCCGGAGGUUAGCGGAAUAUGUCUGUAGCGGUGAAAUGCUUAGAUAUGACAUAGAACACCAAUUGCGAAGGCAGCUAACUACAGGGAUAUUGACACUGAGGCACGAAAGCGUGGGGAUCAAACAGGAUUAGAUACCCUAGUAGUCC